GGGGACCCCAAGUGCGAGGGCAUAUAGUCCUCGCUGUUCUGGACUGUAGGGAGGUUCAGAAGAAAGGGCUGGGCAAGACCGGUUCCAGCCGCCGCGGUAAUACCGGCAGCCCGAGUGAUGGCCGAUUUUAUUGGUCCUAAAGCGUCCGUAGCCGGCCAGACGGGUCCGUCGGGAAAUCUGCACGCCCAACGUGCAGGCGUCCGGCGGAGACCAGCUGGCUUGGGGCCGGAAGACCCAGGGGGGUACGUCCGGGGUAGGAGUGAAAUCCCGUAAUCCCGGACGGACCGCCGGUGGCGAAAGCGCCCUGGGAGGACGGACCCGACGGUGAGGGACGAAAGCCAAGGUCACGAACCGGAUUAGAUACCCGGGUAGUCUUGGCCGUAAACGAUGUCCGCUCGGUGUGGCGCAGGCUACGAGCCUGCGCUGUGCCACAGCGAAGGCGCUAAGCGGACCGCCUGGGAAGUACGUCUGCAAGGAUGAAACUUAAAGGAAUUGGCGGG
This 500-nucleotide ribosomal RNA is filed under the name uncultured Halorhabdus sp. Its description in RNAcentral is "bacterial SSU rRNA". It matches the Rfam family "Archaeal small subunit ribosomal RNA", at positions 374 to 872 of the family's 1478-position model. The record is from RNAcentral. Lineage: Archaea; Methanobacteriati; Methanobacteriota; Halobacteria; Halobacteriales; Haloarculaceae.